RNAcentral lists this long non-coding RNA (526 nucleotides) under Physcomitrium patens. Its description in RNAcentral is "long non-coding RNA (PPAT_LNC015023)". The record is from RNAcentral. Lineage: Eukaryota; Viridiplantae; Streptophyta; Bryopsida; Funariales; Funariaceae.
AAAAUACACAAGCUCCUAAAAACUUGCAUACUUCCGUUAAAGAGUCACAUGAAUCCAUCAUCCUUCUAAUUGCAUCAACUAUACUUGGAUCAAGCUUUCUCCCAUAAAAUCUACAUAAAUGUCCAAUAAUAGGAACUUCUUGUAUUCCAAAUGUAGAUUUUGUUCCUGAAAGUGUAAGAUGAACCUCUUCAAGUCGAGUUAAAAUCUUUUCACAAUCUUGUAUAUGAUCAACAACAUAUUUUCGACACCCCCUCUCAUCUAAAGUUUCAUCUUUUAUAUUUUGUCUCUAUAAUAACUUUUGGUGCUUGAAAAGAUUCAAGUAUAGAAUAAACUUCCCUCGAAUGAAUUUCCACAAUCUUAUCAUUAUCUCCUAAUCCAAUAGAUGCAAUUAAUUCUAAAGAAUCCUCCAAUCCAUUUUCUUCAUAAAUACCUUAAAUCUUCUCAUCAUCUUCUAAUGUCCCUAACUUGCGUAAUUCCUUUUCAAUACUAUAUAAUCUUUUUCUUUCUUUUCUUUUAAAAUCAUCAA